Molecule: long non-coding RNA, 771 nt
Organism: Penaeus monodon (black tiger shrimp)
Lineage: Eukaryota; Metazoa; Arthropoda; Malacostraca; Decapoda; Penaeidae
Exons: 3
Source: RefSeq, a predicted model, not a curated record
UCGAUUUGAGUGCCACAGGAAAUUCAACGAUGAAGUGGAUCGGUUUGACUUUCUUGUUGUUGUCAUCCUUGAUGGUGGCAACAGAAGCGCGACCCCAAGCCAGGUUCCCGCCUCACUUUCCUACAAGAGGGCCCUUCAUCCCUCCAUACCCCUGCAACUGUACGUUCCCACCGUGUCCUUGUGAUCCUCCUAGACCCAUCGACUUCUUAAGGGUCAAGCGACAAGUGUGAAGAGGACUCCGGAGGGCUCGGCGACAACUGUGAAGAAGACUCCGGAGGUCCCUGCGACAAGUGUGAAGAGGACUCCUUAGGGCCCUGCGACAACUGUGAAGAGGACUCCGGAGGGCCCUGCGAGUCUUCGGGAUGCUUUUCCUUCUCGUCCACGUCCUCGGAUUCUCUUAAGUGCUUUUCUUAUACUUUUUCAACUGCCUACGUAAAUUAGGUUUUCCUAUGGUCUGUAAAACGUAUCAGGCGUUCUAUUCGCGUCUUGUUUUUGAAAUUUCCUUCUUGUCAUUGCUAGUCUUUUCUUUGUGUAAACAUAAGUUAGUAAGGCUCCAUUAGUGCCUGUGGAAAUCAUUGUUUUUUGUUUCUUUACACUACUUAGCAAAGCCUCCUUAGUGUCUGUACGAAUCUUUUCAAUAAACAAACCAUUGUAUUUUAAACCAUCAACUCAUUACAAGAUUCCUUCAUCAUCAGUCGUAUUUUAUGCAUUCACAACACAGAAGAGGCAAUUAACCCGCUAUACUGUCUUCAAAUAAAUAUUAUCAGUCAA